This 74-nucleotide transfer RNA is filed under the name Pseudomonadota bacterium. RNAcentral describes it as "tRNA-Arg". It matches the Rfam family "tRNA". Rfam says of the family: Transfer RNA (tRNA) molecules are approximately 80 nucleotides in length. Their secondary structure includes four short double-helical elements and three loops (D, anti-codon, and T loops). The record is from RNAcentral. Lineage: Bacteria; Pseudomonadati; Pseudomonadota. RNAcentral also lists the same sequence under 1 other name.
GCCCCUGUAGCUCAGCAGGAUAGAGCAGCGGUUUCCUAAACCGCAGGUCACCCGUUCAAAUCGGGUCAGGGGUA